AGCGAACGCUGGCGGCAGGUCUAACACAUGCAAGUCGAACGGACCCUUCGGGGUUAGUGGCGGACGGGUGAGUAACACGUGGGAACGUGCCCUUUGGUUCGGAACAACUCAGGGAAACUUGAGCUAAUACCGAAUGUGCCCUUUGGGGGAAGGAUUUAUCGCCAUUGGAGCGGCCCGCGUCUGAUUAGCUAGUUGGUGGGGUAAUGGCCUACCAAGGCGACGAUCAGUAGCUGGUCUGAGAGGAUGAUCGGCCACAUUGGGACUGAGACACGGCCCAAACUCCUACGGGAGGCAGCAGUGGGGAAUCUUGCGCAAUGGGCGAAAGCCUGACGCAGCCAUGCCGCGUGAAUGAUGAAGGUCUUAGGAUUGUAAAAUUCUUUCACCGGGGACGAUAAUGACGGUACCCGGAGAAGAAGCCCCGGCUAACUUCGUGCCAGCCGCCGCGGUAA
This 449-nucleotide ribosomal RNA is filed under the name uncultured bacterium. RNAcentral's name for it is "partial 16S ribosomal RNA". It matches the Rfam family "Bacterial small subunit ribosomal RNA", at positions 29 to 523 of the family's 1533-position model. The record is from RNAcentral.